This is a long non-coding RNA of Saccostrea echinata, 3459 nucleotides long. RefSeq lists it as uncharacterized. NCBI's taxonomy places the organism in Eukaryota, Metazoa, Mollusca, Bivalvia, Ostreida, Ostreidae. The record is from RefSeq and is a predicted model, not a curated record. The transcript has 4 exons.
UGUUGACCAUAUGAAUUUUCGACAGUAUGUUGAACAUAUGUUUAAAACAUAUGUUGAACAUAUGUUUGAAAUAUAUGUUGAACAUAUAGCAGACCCAAAACAUAUGUUGAACAUAUGUUUGUGGUAACUAUAUGCUUAACAUACGUGAACAUAUUUUAAACAUAUGGUUGUUUCAAACAUAUGUUCAACAUAUGUUUUGAGUUUCACAUAAAAUUCAUACUGAACAUUAUAUAAUAAUUUAAUUUUGUUUGUAUUCUAGCUUCUGAUUGGUUAAUAUCCAAAAAGGAACACAAAUUAUUUCUGUAUAACCUGGUUUGGUACGGGGACACACCCCCCUGACAACCAGCUGGAUCAUCUGUAUCCAUACAAUUCUCUCAUUUCCAGUCCUCGGGAUUCAUGGAAAAUUCCAGAUUUAAUCAAUGUACCUUUAACUUCAAACAAUAAUUCGAUCUUACCACAUGUAAACAAACAACAAGGCUGCUAGGCCUAUGUAUCAGUUUUUACCUCCCCUCGCUUCCCAUCACUUCCGAUACUUCCGUUACUACGGUUGUAUUAUUGAGCGACAAAUUUGAACUAAUAAAAAGCAACGAAAUUUUACUUCCAUAGUCAUUUAAUGAUUUUAAAGUUAAAUUAUAAGGAAUGACUCUAAUUCUUGGCCAAAAUAUUCGAGUAUAACCUGGUUUUGAGUCAGUUUACGCUGUUUUAUAAUCCGCGCAAUACAGUUAAGGUGACAAAAGGAAAUAUCGGCCAAUUUUUACAUAGAAAAUACAUUCUUUACAAGGAUGGACAAUUCUUUUUAGGACUUUACUAUUAUCGGACAAAUGCAAUGUGGUUGAAAACUACAUGUUGAGGACAAUUAGAUUUCUUAUUUAGACUUGUCACGUGAUGAGGAAGUCAUGUGAUUUUAGCAAAUAUACCUGAAGUAUUGAGGUCAUCUAUAAAUUCCAAUAUUGCAAGGGCAUAACCAAGUUAAAAAUCUAGUUUAAUAUAUACUUACUUUCAACACUCUUUAUAUUUUGUGAAAAGUGCUGCGAACCUAUAUAGAUUCUACUAUCUAAUUGCUAAAAUUACAUUUGUUAGACCGUAUGUUGAAUAUUUUGCUGGUCAAGUACAUUAAAUAUAGAUAUAAUUAAUUCAUUUGUAAGAUUUCAACAGGUUCGCAGCACUUUUCAAAUAUCUUCAUACUUCUUGAAUUUAUGUGUAAAAGCUUGUCAUAAUUCAUUGAGGGUAUGCCCUUGCAAUAUAUCGAUUUAUUACGACCCUUCUAUUACCCUUCAAUGAAUCUGCAUACAAAUAUACGGCAGUAUCGCUUGUCUAGGGAAUGUAUUGGAACUAUAUGAAUAAAAUCAUAAAAUAGACAUCGCAUCCAAGUUAAUGGCCUCUUAUAUAUCUGCAAAUAAUAUUUUAUUUAAUUACAAAAUACAUUUUUCAUUGUAUAAAAUACACUUGAUCCGCCUCUCACUGCAUACAAACUGCGUCAAAUUUUACGAUAUGACGUCACAUUGACAAGUGCAUUGCGAUCAGUGAAUUGUUUAUAUAUUGCUGUGUGGGAUUUAACCAACGACAAAAAUGCAUGCACUAGUUAGUAUUGAUGUAGUUUAAAGCUAUCCAACAGUUUAAAAUAGCAAAUCCUUCCAUUUUGUGGUAAUUUGAAGAACUUAUAUUUUUGUGUGAUGUCAUAGAAAGCAUUUCCCGUAUAAAUUAGGCCCCGCCUCCUUAUUGCAGCCUUAACUGUGCUGCGCGCUUCGCGGAUUAUAAAGCGUAAACUGACCCAAACCAGGUUAUACUCGAAUAAUUUGGCCAAGAAUUAGAGUCAUUCCUAAAAUAACCAAUAUCCUUUUCACAUUUAUUUCAUUUAAUAUUAAGUUAAUGUUAUCGUUAUUUGAAAUAAUUUAUUUUAAUUUAGCGAGAUAAAAAAAUAUGUUAAUUAAUUUAAUGUUAAUCAAUGAAUCAGCAAUAAUUUAAUAUUAAGCCUAAUAUGAAAAACAUGAGUUAGGCCCCCUUUAUGUUAUAUUUUAACACGUCGGAGGGGGGGGGGUCCAGCAAAUUUUGAAAGGGGGAUUUCCAGGUCGGUGCCCCUAACACUCAUGCAUAGAAUCACAACAUAGGCACUUCAAACCAUAGCACUGAACGGUUUUCGAAGGGGACAAUCUCCGAACAGAGUUGACAAGCAACCCCCCCCCCUCCCCCGGCUUCCUUCUGGAUUCGCCAAUGCAAGUAGACUGCAUGUUAAAAAAAAUUAAUUUCAAUAACAUUAAUCAAGAUCAAUUUGAAUACUUAUUUAUUCAAAAGAAUGGUCAUUUCUUAUAGAAGCUUACAUAAAAAAGGGGGAAAGGUUAACUACUCUGUUAGGUACCGUGCACCCCUCCUCCACUCGUUUCUUCAAAUUCAGUCCCCCCCCUCCUUUCUUCGAAUCAAAAUUUUUCUUUUUGAACAUUGUAUUCCCCAAAUUAAAUUUAUCAAGAAUUAAUAAAUGUGUAUUUUACCACGUUUUGUUUGGAUUUUUUAUAUGAGUUUAAAAAAAUCAUUCCAUAUUUUAUUCCCUGAACGGUUUUGGUUUUUAUUGGAUGAAAGUGUACGUACGUCAUUUUUGACGUCACUGUUGCAGCAGAAGUGUUGGGUGUUGGAAACAAGUAAGUGUUUUCAGAUAUGUUUUUAGAAUUUAGUUUAUGGUGGUAAGAGAUUUUUUUAGGGUUACAGAUUCAUACGAACUUCUACUAUUCUCUCUCCUGACUUGCAUAACAUCUAACUGUAGUUGUUAUUAAUGCAGUUCGUAAAAAGACGAUACAUGUAGUGAUCUUGUCUACGUUAUUUUGGAUUUGUUUUCGACCAAUGUAAAAACCAAUUAGCAUUACUAAUUUUUCAGAUUUGUUUUCCUUUUGUCAAUUGGCCUAGUUACGUUGCAUAUCAUGUACGAUCUUAAUUGACUUGAAAGUGAAAGUAGAAAUGUUGCAGUUUGUAUGUAGCGUAUGUUAGAUGGUUAUCCAUUCGGUUCUUUUAUCAAAUGAUUAAUGGGAAAUGUUUGUUUUAUUAUGUAUUAAGCAACUGGAGUUCAGUGUCAGAGUACCGUUUUUAUUGAAAGAACCCAAAGCUGUUAAGACUGACUAUUCCACCCAAAGCUGAUUUGACUGAAGAUUGCACGAUCACAAUAUACAGGCUCCCCUCCCUGCUAUGAAUAACAUGGAAGAACACUAUGACCCUAGGCUUGCUCCAGAAUAGAGAACCUGUAUUAAUCAACAGAACCUUAAAAUUGGAGUUUCCAUGGUAGUGCCACUCAGUACCUUAACAUGUGACACUUUCAAAUCCUUUGAUGAAGUUCCAAGGGGUUGUAAAAUGGAAGAAAACAAAGAACAGGGCAAGAAAAAAACAAGUGCUCAAAAUGCAAUGCAGUCACUGUCAGGGAAAUAAAGCCAGAAUUAUGUACAAAUUUGAAAAAAUAAACACAAGAUAAUUGCUGGA